GGUGUGGCUCAGUUUGGUCAGAGCGCCUGGUUUGGGACCAGGAAGUCGCAGGUUCGAAUCCUGUCACC
Molecule: transfer RNA, 68 nt
Filed under: bovine gut metagenome
Also listed under: 1 other name
Rfam family: tRNA
About the family: Transfer RNA (tRNA) molecules are approximately 80 nucleotides in length. Their secondary structure includes four short double-helical elements and three loops (D, anti-codon, and T loops).
Source: RNAcentral